RNAcentral lists this ribosomal RNA (425 nucleotides) under uncultured bacterium. RNAcentral describes it as "partial 16S ribosomal RNA". It matches the Rfam family "Bacterial small subunit ribosomal RNA", at positions 354 to 796 of the family's 1533-position model. The record is from RNAcentral.
GUGGGGAAUCUUGCGCAAUGGGCGAAAGCCUGACGCAGCCAUGCCGCGUGAAUGAUGAAGGUCUUAGGAUUGUAAAAUUCUUUCACCGGGGACGAUAAUGACGGUACCCGGAGAAGAAGCCCCGGCUAACUUCGUGCCAGCAGCCGCGGUAAUACGAAGGGGGCUCGCGUUGCUCGGAAUUACUGGGCGUAAAGGGCGCGUAGGCGGACAGUUUAGUCAGAGGUGAAAGCCCAGGGCUCAACCUUGGAAUUGCCUUUGAUACUGGCUGUCUUGAGUACGGGAGAGGUGAGUGGAACUCCGAGUGUAGAGGUGAAAUUCGUAGAUAUUCGGAAGAACACCAGUGGCGAAGGCGACUCACUGGCCCGUUACUGACGCUGAGGCGCGAAAGCGUGGGGAGCAAACAGGAUUAGAUACCCCGGUAGUCC